UACGAAGGGUGCAAACGUUGCUCGGAAUCAUUGGGCGUAAAGCGCACGUAGGCGGCUUCGCAAGUCGGAUGUGAAAUCCCUCGGCUCAACCGAGGACGUGCAUCCGAAACUGCGGAGCUUGAGUGCUGAAGAGGAUCGCGGAAUUCCCGGUGUAGAGGUGAAAUUCGUAGAUAUCGGGAGGAACACCAGUGGCGAAGGCGGCGAUCUGGGCAGACACUGACGCUGAGGUGCGAAAGCGUGGGGAGCAAACAGG
Molecule: ribosomal RNA, 253 nt
Filed under: uncultured bacterium
Lineage: Bacteria
Description: partial 16S ribosomal RNA
Rfam family: Bacterial small subunit ribosomal RNA
Source: RNAcentral